Molecule: ribosomal RNA, 497 nt
Filed under: uncultured bacterium
Lineage: Bacteria
Description: partial 16S ribosomal RNA
Rfam family: Bacterial small subunit ribosomal RNA
Source: RNAcentral
GAUGAACGCUGGCGGCGUGCCUAAUACAUGCAAGUCGAGCGAACGGACGAGAAGCUUGCUUCUCUGCUGUUGGCGGCGGACGGGUGAGUAACACGUGGAUAACCUACCUAUAAGACUGGGAUAACUUCGGGAAACCGGAGCUAAUACUGGAUGAUAUUUUGAACCGCAUGGUUCAAAAGUGAAAGACGGUCUUGCUGUCACUUAUAGAUGGAUCCGCGCUGCAUUAGCUAGUUGGUAAGGUAACGGCUUACCAAGGCAACGAUGCAUAGCCGACCUGAGAGGGUGAUCGGCCACACUGGAACUGAGACACGGUCCAGACUCCUACGGGAGGCAGCAGUAGGGAAUCUUCCGCAAUGGGCGAAAGCCUGACGGAGCAACGCCGCGUGAGUGAUGAAGGUCUUCGGAUCGUAAAACUCUGUUAUUAGGGAAGAACAUAUGUGUAAGUAACUGUGCACAUCUUGACGGUACCUAAUCAGAAAGCCACGGCUAACUACGUG